GGGAAGGGGAACAAGUAUGCCAAGUGUUCCUGUCAGACAACCAGAUCAAGCUGAGACUUCAAUCCAAGAUAGACCUUUUAGAAGAACAAAGCUUGGGGCGAGAAGAGGGGGGCAAGUGUCUGAACUAACAAGGCAGCU
Prunus avium (sweet cherry) is the source of this 138-nucleotide non-coding RNA. The record is from RefSeq and is a predicted model, not a curated record. NCBI's taxonomy places the organism in Eukaryota, Viridiplantae, Streptophyta, Magnoliopsida, Rosales, Rosaceae.